CCUACGGGUGGCAGCAGUGAGGAAUAUUGGUCAAUGGGCGGGAGCCUGAACCAGCCAAGCCGCGUGAGGGAAGAAGGUACAGCGUAUCGUAAACCUCUUUUGUCAGGGAACAAAGGCGGGGACUAGUCCCCGGAUGAGGGUACCUGAAGAAAAAGCAUCGGCUAACUCCGUGCCAGCAGCCGCGGUAAUACGGAGGAUGCGAGCGUUAUCCGGAUUUAUUGGGUUUAAAGGGUGCGAAGGCGGCGUGUUAAGCUGGCGGUAAAAGCCCGGGGCUCAACCCCGGCGAGCCGUGGGAACUGGCGGGCUGGAGUGGGAGGAAAGUACGCGGAAUGCGCGGUGUAGCGGUGAAAUGCUUAGAUAUCGCGCAGAACCCCGAUUGCGAAGGCAGCGUACGGGAGCGACACUGACGCUGAGGCACGAAGGCGUGGGGAUCGAACAGGAUUAGAUACCCGAGUAGUC
This 459-nucleotide ribosomal RNA is filed under the name uncultured bacterium. RNAcentral describes it as "partial 16S ribosomal RNA". It matches the Rfam family "Bacterial small subunit ribosomal RNA", at positions 338 to 795 of the family's 1533-position model. The record is from RNAcentral.